This 128-nucleotide non-coding RNA is filed under the name Pteropus alecto (black flying fox). RNAcentral's name for it is "Eukaryotic large subunit ribosomal RNA". It matches the Rfam family "Eukaryotic large subunit ribosomal RNA", at positions 2193 to 2324 of the family's 3401-position model. Lineage: Eukaryota; Metazoa; Chordata; Mammalia; Chiroptera; Pteropodidae. The record is from Rfam by way of RNAcentral.
GACUUCUGCCUAGUGCUCUGAAUAUCAAAGUGAAGAAAUUCAAUGAAGCGCAGGUAAAUGGCGGGAGUAACUAUGACUUAAGGUAGCCAAAUGCCUCGUCAUCUAAUUAGUGACACGCAUGACUGGAU